Non-coding RNA from Heterocephalus glaber (naked mole-rat), 319 nucleotides. NCBI's taxonomy places the organism in Eukaryota, Metazoa, Chordata, Mammalia, Rodentia, Bathyergidae. The record is from Rfam.
GGAUGUGAGGGCCAUCUGGCUGUGACUUCUGUCACCCCAUUGAUUGCCAGGGUUGAUAUGGCUGAUAUGGCUGGCUAGGUGGGUGUGUUCCCUUUCUCCCAUCACUGCUCCAUGUGCUUCCCUCCCGAAGCUGUGUGCUUGAUCAAAGAGGACGACCAUCCCUGAUAGAGGAGGACUGUUUCCUCAGUCAAGGAUAUAUGAGUAGCUAGGUGCAUUCAUUCACCUGCUAGAACCUCCAGACAAGCUCCCAAAUAGGUUUUUAAUGAAGGUUUUAAUCUGAUGCUUUACCUGUUAGGUUGUUUAAGUAAUAGCAGUCUUA